Pollicipes pollicipes is the source of this 209-nucleotide long non-coding RNA. RefSeq lists it as uncharacterized. The transcript is spliced from 3 exons. Lineage: Eukaryota; Metazoa; Arthropoda; Thecostraca; Pollicipedomorpha; Pollicipedidae. The record is from RefSeq and is a predicted model, not a curated record.
GCCCAGCGGGUGUUCACAGGAGGCACGCAAUCACCGCGCCCGUCAUGACGGUCAGACUGUUUCUGCUGGGUCUGCUGGUCGCCGCCGUCCCGGCAGCCGCCCAGCGCCCCCGGACUCCGCAGCGGCAGGCUAAGCCCGAAUAUGGAAACUACCGGCCACCGCCGCAGCAAUGUAGCGCGGUAGCCGCUCGGGUCGACCUGGUGUCCGGC